AGAGUUUGAUCCUGGCUCAGGACGAACGCUGGCGGCGUGCCUAAUACAUGCAAGUCGAGCGAAUCUUUUGGGACUUGUCCCUUAAGAUUAGCGGCGGACGGGUGAGUAACACGUGGGUAACCUGCCUGUAAGACUGGGAUAACUUCGGGAAACCGGAGCUAAUACCGGAUAAUUUCUUUUCUCGCAUGAGAGAAGAUGGAAAGAUGGUUUCGGCUAUCACUUACAGAUGGACCCGCGGCGCAUUAGCUAGUUGGUGAGGUAACGGCUCACCAAGGCAACGAUGCGUAGCCGACCUGAGAGGGUGAUCGGCCACACUGGGACUGAGACACGGCCCAGACUCCUACGGGAGGCAGCAGUAGGGAAUCUUCCGCAAUGGACGAAAGUCUGACGGAGCAACGCCGCGUGAACGAAGAAGGCCUUCGGGUCGUAAAGUUCUGUUGUUAGGGAAGAACAAGUACGAGAGUAACUGCUUGUACCUUGACGGUACCUAACCGGAAAGCCACGGCUAACUACGUGCCAGCAGCCGCGGUA
Molecule: ribosomal RNA, 531 nt
Filed under: uncultured Bacillota bacterium
Lineage: Bacteria; Bacillati; Bacillota
Description: bacterial SSU rRNA
Rfam family: Bacterial small subunit ribosomal RNA
Source: RNAcentral